GGGGCAUCAUCAGUUGUCCGUUUGUUCGUUGAAAAGUAGCUUUCCUCCGAACACCAGAGCCACAUUACGAUGUGCACACAAGCGCAAUUUAAAUAGUGGCGGAAAUCUAUCUUCCGUGUGUACAUUGGCAAGUUGAUAAACCGCGGAGACCAGAGAUAUACGGCACUGUUUGGUACCGGGUGUACCCCAACACAAAGAGACCCAAGCCAGUCAACCCCCCGCAGCCGGUUUUUCUUUGCCGGUCUAGUGUAUUCUGUUCGUGUCUUCUUGGAGCUCGGUUUGAGGAGCAUUGGGGAGAGUGUGUGUAGUGCGCGAAAGAUUGCCCACGACGGAGACGGAGACGGAGCGCGGUCGUCUAUAAAUGCCAGCCAGCCUGCCAGCCACAGUUUGUACGAUUCGUCUCAAGUUCAAGGUCUUUUAGAUAACGCUAUCUCUUUUAUGUGAACGAAUUCGCUCCUAUAAACUUGUCCCGUUUUUUGUGUGUACGAUGCCUUUUCCGCUUCUCUUCUUAUUGUUCUGCUUGUUGUGUGUGUUUUGUUUGGCAUUUUUGCAUUUCAGGCUUUAAUUUCGUUCUCCUUGGACUUCUUCUUGGUGUCCCAGUCUGGCUGUAUCUCUACUCCUAUUGCCUCACCUUCCCAUGUUCCUACGUUACAUUCCUUCGCCUGGAACCUGCUUUUCCGGCGAUGUAUCUUUACGCCGUCGAUAACAUCAGAAUGAGCAACAUCAGAAGCUUGUUUUUCCUCACUUUCUUCACUUUCGCAUCAGUCCCGCUCUCCAUAUUGCCUCCUACAUACAGCCGAUGACCAUUUUGGGACAUUUUGUAAUAAUUUAUUACGCAAGUGGCUAUGUGUGUAUGUCUUCCUCUCCAAAACUGGACGCAGAAGCUUAGACACAUCGGGAACAGUCGUGGGAAGAAGGAGGUAAGCAAUCCACAUCUUUGAAUUGGCUCAACGACUGCGACUGGAAUCCUCCAUGUUAUGAGGCUGCGGCGGCCGGGGCGGCUAGACGUAAUGAGGAAUGUAAGAAAAGCCGGAAAUGAAUUGGCUAAACAAAAAUGUCUGAGUUGCGUCGUCGUUGUUAUUUUUGGGCCGGUCGUCUCUCGUUAAUUGAAAGGGAAGUUUAUGGCAGACUUUGUUCGCGUCAGUUCGUCAUCGAUGUGACCGCUGGCAAUGAGACGGGAAAUGGGGGUUGACUGGAGGUCGCGCGGAUGCAAUUUCCUAAUUCUGAUUUAUGGCGAGGAUUUCAAUGGAUAUGGUGCCAAAUGCUCUGAAAGGAUGGUUCUGAUG
Hermetia illucens (black soldier fly) is the source of this 1286-nucleotide long non-coding RNA. RefSeq lists it as uncharacterized. NCBI's taxonomy places the organism in Eukaryota, Metazoa, Arthropoda, Insecta, Diptera, Stratiomyidae. The record is from RefSeq and is a predicted model, not a curated record. The transcript has 4 exons.